CCUCCUGGUGUGUGACGUUCACUUGAAGACUGGCCCAGAGAGAGAUGAUGUCUCAGCCAGUCCCAGGAUGGAUGCAGGGGGUUCGAGACAUCAAUGCAACCAAGAACAUGAAAAUAUUGAUUACAUUCCUGAACUGACAUUAUAAACCGGAGUCGCUGGACCUCCAGGGU
Molecule: long non-coding RNA, 170 nt
Organism: Amblyraja radiata (thorny skate)
Lineage: Eukaryota; Metazoa; Chordata; Chondrichthyes; Rajiformes; Rajidae
Exons: 3
Source: RefSeq, a predicted model, not a curated record